GCGCGGCUCGGGCUACUUAAGCGCGCUACGCUCCGCGAGGGUACCUGGCCUGCGUGGGCGGGUACAUCGUGAAGCGUGUGUCAACGGAAUGAAAAUAUUCCGUUUCUUCUCCUUCCUUCUUUUUCUGUUACUCUUGUAAUUGACACGGACGCUCUUUUUCCCUUAGAACUUUCUAUGGAACAACGAAGGGCGUUCGAGGCCAGAUACAUUCCGUGAAGGUGAAUCACUGUUGCAGCCCGCUACGCGGAGGCUAAUAUAAUUGGGAGUAGAUUACGAGGCAGGAAAGUUUUUCAGGACGACUAUAAUUCGACGCGCCUACGUCGAUGCGUUUGAAUUCACGACGAUCCAAGUUUGGCAGCAGAUUGUUGCCACUACUUGAUACCAAUUUUGGAAAGUCUAGACGAACUUAUCGAUUUGAUGGAUUUUUCUUUUGCAUGCACUUUUCUUCAACGUUAAAAUUGUUAUUCUUAUAUACUUUAUAGAUUAUCGUACUUUAGAAGGGAACUGAUAAUUUCUUGUAUAAAAGUAUAAAUAGAACAAUGAAAUGUUUAAUCUACAAUUAACAAAAGGAAAUCCUUAAUGGAGAAGUAAAUAUUUGUUCAAUCCUUUAUUCGUAAAUUGUUCCAAGAAAGUAUCACUACACGAGAAGUUUCAGAUUGUGCUAAUAACGAAUGAUACUGUAGUUAAAAAGGACGACAAUUCGAAGUACUGGCAAUGUCUACACUCGUACUCGGCAGGAUCGCAGUAGAUUACCCCAUCCAGUGAUCAGACCGAAGUAGACGCACGAAAAUCAGGCCAAGUGACUCUAGUCCCCCCACAUCAUCGGUAUUAAUUUAUUUCCGAGCCGGAGAGGAAAAAAAUUGUACUGCUUCAAAAUAUAAUACUAUUGAUUAGAUAGAUUGGCUAACAAGUAGUCAGACCAAGCCCACUCGCUGCCCACAUUAUCGACGUAGCUUCAAUUUACAGGCAACACCGGGCGAAACUUUGCGUCCCCUCGAAAUUGCUAUUGUGACAACUAUUCGCGGAACACAGGGUAAUUGUAGGUUAAUAAGUAUCGGAUUCCGAUGUAGGUGGCCGACCCACGAAAUAAUACACUCGCACGACUGAUUCAAAUACCGAAUUAUCUCGCAGAAAACUCGAAGGACGUUCGUUGUAAAGCAAUUUUCAUUUCAUCCAGCGGAUUUACUUGAAGUGUUUCAAAGGGUACUUCCCAUUUGACAUACUGAUCUAGUAUAUUAAGUCACAGGAAAAUUUGUAUAUCAA
This is a long non-coding RNA of Nomia melanderi (Alkali bee), 1263 nucleotides long. RefSeq lists it as uncharacterized. The record is from RefSeq and is a predicted model, not a curated record. Lineage: Eukaryota; Metazoa; Arthropoda; Insecta; Hymenoptera; Halictidae.